CAAACAUGAACGGGCAUUUUAAUGGGUAGCUUUCUUUCAGGGGAUCAUCCUCACAGAUGCGGCUUCAGGACACCAGGUUUAAGGUCCAAACAGUGCAUUUAUUCGCACACCAGCAAAAGCAGAACAACAAAACAAUAAAACACUCGCCCUUC
Long non-coding RNA from Bufo bufo (common toad), 152 nucleotides. RefSeq lists it as uncharacterized. The record is from RefSeq and is a predicted model, not a curated record. The transcript has 4 exons. NCBI's taxonomy places the organism in Eukaryota, Metazoa, Chordata, Amphibia, Anura, Bufonidae.